Molecule: ribosomal RNA, 253 nt
Filed under: uncultured bacterium
Lineage: Bacteria
Description: partial 16S ribosomal RNA
Rfam family: Bacterial small subunit ribosomal RNA
Source: RNAcentral
GACAGAGGGUGCAAACGUUGUUCGGAAUUACUGGGCGUAAAGCGCGUGUAGGCGGCCCUGUAAGUCGGGUGUGAAAUCCCACGGCUCAACCGUGGAAGUGCAUUCGAAACUACAGGGCUAGAGUUCUGGAGAGGAAGGUGGAAUGCUUGGUGUAGAGGUGAAAUUCGUAGAUAUUCGGAAGAACACCAGUGGCGAAGGCGACUCGCUGGACAAGUAUUGACGCUGAGGUGCGAAAGCGUGGGGAGCAAACAGG